AGAGUCCACAUCGACGGGGAGGUUUGGCACCUCGAUGUCGGCUCAUCACAUCCUGGGGCUGUAGUAGGUCCCAAGGGUUGGGCUGUUCGCCCAUUAAAGUGGUACGCGAGCUGGGUUCAGAACGUCGUGAGACAGUUCGGUCCCUAUCCGUCGCAGGCGUAGGAAAUUUGAGAAGACCUGUCCUUAGUACGAGAGGACCGGGAUGGACGUACCUCUGGUGUACCAGUUGUCCUGCCAAGGGCAUGGCUGGGUAGCUAUGUACG
RNAcentral lists this ribosomal RNA (263 nucleotides) under Clostridioides difficile. RNAcentral's name for it is "partial 23S ribosomal RNA". It matches the Rfam family "Bacterial large subunit ribosomal RNA", at positions 2495 to 2757 of the family's 2925-position model. Lineage: Bacteria; Bacillati; Bacillota; Clostridia; Peptostreptococcales; Peptostreptococcaceae. The record is from RNAcentral.